This 492-nucleotide ribosomal RNA is filed under the name uncultured bacterium. Its description in RNAcentral is "partial 16S ribosomal RNA". It matches the Rfam family "Bacterial small subunit ribosomal RNA", at positions 29 to 507 of the family's 1533-position model. The record is from RNAcentral.
AGUGAACGCUGGCGGUAGGCCUAACACAUGCAAGUCGAACGGCAGCACAGUAAGAGCUUGCUCUUACGGGUGGCGAGUGGCGGACGGGUGAGGAAUACAUCGGAAUCUACUUUUUCGUGGGGGAUAACGUAGGGAAACUUACGCUAAUACCGCAUACGACCUACGGGUGAAAGCAGGGGAUCUUCGGACCUUGCGCGAUUGAAUGAGCCGAUGUCGGAUUAGCUAGUUGGCGGGGUAAAGGCCCACCAAGGCGACGAUCCGUAGCUGGUCUGAGAGGAUGAUCAGCCACCCUGGAACUGAGACACGGUCCAGACUCCUACGGGAGGCAGCAGUGGCGAAUAUUGGACAAUGGGCGCAAGCCUGAUCCAGCCAUACCGCGUGGGUGAAGAAGGCCUUCGGGUUGUAAAGCCCUUUUGUUGGGAAAGAAAAGCAGCAGGUUAAUACCCCGCUGUUCUGACGGUACCCAAAGAAUAAGCACCGGCUAACUUCGUG